GCUUCGAAGUUCCACUAGAAAUUCAGACAAAUCAUAGAUUCUGGCCCUAUUUCAAGAAUUGUAUUGGCGCAAUUGAUGGAUCUCAUUUUCGAGUGAAAGUGG
Long non-coding RNA from Asparagus officinalis (garden asparagus), 102 nucleotides. RefSeq lists it as uncharacterized. The transcript has 2 exons. Lineage: Eukaryota; Viridiplantae; Streptophyta; Magnoliopsida; Asparagales; Asparagaceae. The record is from RefSeq and is a predicted model, not a curated record.